Molecule: ribosomal RNA, 461 nt
Filed under: Rhodococcus sp. SC48
Lineage: Bacteria; Bacillati; Actinomycetota; Actinomycetes; Mycobacteriales; Nocardiaceae
Description: bacterial SSU rRNA
Rfam family: Bacterial small subunit ribosomal RNA
Source: RNAcentral
GACGAACGCUGGCGGCGUGCUUAACACAUGCAAGUCGAGCGGUAAGGCCUUUCGGGGUACACGAGCGGCGAACGGGUGAGUAACACGUGGGUGAUCUGCCCUGCACUCUGGGAUAAGCUUGGGAAACUGGGUCUAAUACCGGAUAUGACYGCAUGCYGCAUGGUGUGUGGUGGAAAGAUUUAUCGGUGCAGGAUGGGCCCGCGGCCUAUCAGCUUGUUGGUGGGGUAAUGGCCUACCAAGGCGACGACGGGUAGCCGACCUGAGAGGGUGACCGGCCACACUGGGACUGAGACACGGCCCAGACUCCUACGGGAGGCAGCAGUGGGGAAUAUUGCACAAUGGGCGGAAGCCUGAUGCAGCGACGCCGCGUGAGGGAUGAAGGCCUUCGGGUUGUAAACCUCUUUCAGCAGGGACGAAGCGUGAGUGACGGUACCUGCAGAAGAAGCACCGGCUAACUACGU